This 254-nucleotide ribosomal RNA is filed under the name uncultured bacterium. RNAcentral describes it as "partial 16S ribosomal RNA". It matches the Rfam family "Bacterial small subunit ribosomal RNA", at positions 524 to 776 of the family's 1533-position model. The record is from RNAcentral.
UACGGGGGGAGCAAGCGUUGUUCGGAUUUACUGGGCGUAAAGGGCGCGUAGGCGGUCAGCACAAGUCAGUUGUGAAAUCUCCGGGCUUAACUCGGAAAGGUCAACUGAUACUGUGCGACUAGAGUGCGGAAGGGGCAACUGGAAUUCUCGGUGUAGCGGUGAAAUGCGUAGAUAUCGAGAGGAACACCUGCGGCGAAGGCGGGUUGCUGGGCCGACACUGACGCUGAUGCGCGAAAGUGUGGGGAGCGAACAGG